Long non-coding RNA from Phyllopteryx taeniolatus (common seadragon), 519 nucleotides. RefSeq lists it as uncharacterized. Lineage: Eukaryota; Metazoa; Chordata; Actinopteri; Syngnathiformes; Syngnathidae. The record is from RefSeq and is a predicted model, not a curated record. The transcript has 2 exons.
CAGCUUGGAGAUGAAGAGCAGGCCGUCGCGGUGCUGCGCGCAGAAGGAGCUGGGACACAUCUCGCAGAAGGACAGCGCCUCCUUGCCGCAGAUGUCGCACUGGUGACGCGGACACUCCCAGCGUCCUGAGAAGAACAGCGUUAUUGUGGAACCGCCUACCAGCCGGGAUGUCCAGCAGCGCGAAGAGCCCGACGCGCGUGUCGCCGCUCACCGUCCACUUCUGCGUCUCGCAGUUGGGCUGGCAGCAGUGGUUCAUGAAGCGAGCCUCGUUUCCCUUCGGACCGGCGUCGAUGAUGCGGUCCUAACAAGUCAAGACCAUAUUUAUAUUUCAUGCAAAGUACUAAAUCUAUUGCGUAUGAAUACAUUUAUCUUGACAAGCACUAAAGAGAAGGCAUCGUUGGAUGGAUUAUUAGUGCUGUUUGGUAUUUAUAUUCAAUACAGAAUGCUAAAUCCAUAAUUUGUCUCAUAAUUCUUAGUGUUUGUUUUGCUUUAAUAUUCAAUAAAGAGUACUACAGUGGA